Molecule: ribosomal RNA, 231 nt
Filed under: uncultured bacterium
Lineage: Bacteria
Description: partial 16S ribosomal RNA
Rfam family: Bacterial small subunit ribosomal RNA
Source: RNAcentral
CGGGACGGGUGAGUAAUGUCUGGAAACUGCUGAUGGAGGGGGAUAACUACUGGAAACGGUAGCUAAUACCGCAUAACGUCGCAAGACCAAAGAGGGGGACCUUCGGGCCUCUUGCCAUCGGAUGUGCCCAGAUGGGAUUAGCUAGUAGGUGGGGUAACGGCUCACCUAGGCGACGAUCCCUAGCUGGUCUGAGAGGAUGACCAGCCACACUGGAACUGAGACACGGUCCAG